Molecule: long non-coding RNA, 1821 nt
Organism: Hippocampus comes (tiger tail seahorse)
Lineage: Eukaryota; Metazoa; Chordata; Actinopteri; Syngnathiformes; Syngnathidae
Exons: 3
Source: RefSeq, a predicted model, not a curated record
UUGAGGCUUGACCCCGAGGACCGGAAAAAUGGAGAAGCAAGGCCCGGGUGACAGUGGAUUGUUAGUUUCCGUCCACGCGAGCGAUAACAUUGCAGUGACGCCAUCUUGUUUGGAACGGUGUGAAACUACCGUUUGCAGGGAUGUCAAAGUAAAUACAAACAAAGCAAGUUUUGUUGUGGGAUCAUUUCUAAAUACAAAAACAGUUGAGAGUGAGGCUAUUUGGCCUGGAAAAAUUUGCGUUCAACAUGGUGAUUUUUAUUUUUUUUUUUUUUUACGAAAGUGUCCCAUCAAUUCUUAUUUUUUAUGAAAUAACGAACAUUUUUAACAGACAGAUAGUUGUCGUGGCGGACAUGGCUCAAGCAGUCUUGUGUAGACUUGGCAUCUCGCUUCCAAUCCAAAAAGCUGGCAGCCGACUCGCGGCUCAGACUUCACCUCCACUUCCUCAUUUCCUGCUCUGCUGCCAGUUGAGUGCAGCACAAGUAAUUGCCCGACACUUUUCCCCACUCGGGCGCACGGGGACUCAUCGGUAGUGAACCCAAACGGGCCUAAUGAUGGCGCUGGUAUCUAAAUGACCCCCACAGCACCUCAACCUGUUUAUGUCUGGUGGCCAGUAAGUAAACUCUGGUGUUUGGUGGAGAAUGCAGCAGAUCUCUUAUCGGCCCCUCCAAUAGUUCAUUUUCAGAAUUAUUACUUUUUUUUUUAAACAUCACUAGGCCUGUAAAUGACACAAUGUUGAAAUGCGCAACCCAGAGCACAUAAAAAUACAUCACUGGAUGAUUUUUUUUUUUUGUGGUGAAGUAUGACCUAAUUCCUCUCUGGGAGGUGGACGACAUGGACACGGCACUCUUGUACGCUCGCAGCCAGAGAGGAUUAAGUGAGACCGAACGCUGCAAGCAAACUGGUUCCCAUCCAACAUGUGCUUGAAGAAAGUGAUGGGAGGAGGCGAAGCGGGCCAGGAGUCCAAACUAACUGCGACCCAAAAUGUCAGCCGACAGUGUUCACCUGUGUGAACAAGUCACGCCCACAGGAAGUGCACCAAAGAAGAACAGGAAGUGGGGAAGAGAUUUAGUGUGACACACCCACAGGAAGUGCACCAAAGAACAGGAAGUGGGGAAGAGAUUUUGUAUGACACCUAUACACAGAUACAGGUGCAACUGCAGUUGGCUGAAUGGCUGGCAGAGUGAAUAAAAAAACCAGAAGACAAAAAGUCAUCCUAAUAAUAAUAAAUUGUCGGAUAUCAACAAUGACUUUGCAUGGAUUAUUUUGUGGAGCAAGUCUGGAAAGAAAAUCUUCAAAUCUGCUUGGAGGAACUCGUGACCCACCUGCUUGGAAGACAAUCGACAUCAAACACACACGGAGGGAGGCGCUCUAAUUGAUGGCGACGCACAGAUGGCCUUCGGCCCUCGUGACCACAAGAGCGUUGCAGGCCGGCUCCCCUGCCGUGCAGGCCUGUAAAAAAGCGGCGAUGCUUCAUGGCCCAUCAAUUCACCAGGUGAACGCAAAAGGCCGCCCUCCCAUUUGCCUCCGAGUUUGGAUCGCUUUGCACUUUUUGCGGGAAUGCGGCGAGGUCGGAGUUCACAACGUCUCCCAAGUUGGCUUUUUACAAGGCCACGCGGUGCGGAAAGGACCAAAGUGACUAAACCGGACGGCCGAGCAAGAACUCCAGUCGGCGUUUUAUUGCCGCAUAUCAGGCGAUUGACCCUCGUGCAUAUAAAUCAACUUGCUGCUGAUAAAAUUGUAUCCUGUCGUCAAAUUUGAUUGUGGGUAGAUGAACAGAAUAAUCUCAAAAAGCCACGACCUGUGUUGAAGAAAAAAAAAAAA